Molecule: ribosomal RNA, 416 nt
Filed under: uncultured bacterium
Lineage: Bacteria
Description: bacterial SSU rRNA
Rfam family: Bacterial small subunit ribosomal RNA
Source: RNAcentral
AACGAACGCUGGCGGCAUGCCUAACACAUGCAAGUCGAACGAGACCUUCGGGUCUAGUGGCGCACGGGUGCGUAACGCGUGGGAAUCUGCCCUUGGGUUCGGAAUAACAGUUAGAAAUGACUGCUAAUACCGGAUAAUGUCUUCGGACCAAAGAUUUAUCGCCCAGGGAUGAGCCCGCGUAGGAUUAGCUAGUUGGUGAGGUAAAGGCUCACCAAGGCGACGAUCCUUAGCUGGUCUGAGAGGAUGAUCAGCCACACUGGGACUGAGACACGGCCCAGACUCCUACGGGAGGCAGCAGUGGGGAAUAUUGGACAAUGGGCGAAAGCCUGAUCCAGCAAUGCCGCGUGAGUGAAGAAGGCCUUCGGGUUGUAAAGGCUCUUUCGUACCGGGGGAAGGAAGUGAUGACGGUACCCGUA